AAAAGCAAUACAAUUCUUCGGACCAAGCUCUUUCCUUCCCUUCCUAUGAAUCUUGCGCCAAGCGCGGACCAUCCUCUCCUUCAAGUUUUGGGGAUCUUUACCCUCUUGAAAGAACACACCUUCUAACAAAAUGUUAUUAGGUUUAUCCUUUAAGGGGAACCCAAGCUGACGGCGAGCCAAAAUAGGGUUGUAGUUAAUCCUACCACAUGUACCAAGAAGAGGCACAUUGGAG
This 232-nucleotide long non-coding RNA is filed under the name Lathyrus oleraceus (garden pea). Its description in RNAcentral is "Pisum sativum (pea) long non-coding RNA (PSAT_LNC014284)". Lineage: Eukaryota; Viridiplantae; Streptophyta; Magnoliopsida; Fabales; Fabaceae. The record is from RNAcentral.